AGUUCGGAUUGUAGUCUGCAACCCGACUACAUGAAGCUGGAAUCGCUAGUAAUCGCGAAUCAGAAUGUCGCGGUGAAUACGUUCCCGGGUCUUGUACACACCGCCCGUCACACCAUGGGAGUCGGAAAUGCCCGAAGUCAGUGACCUAACCGAAAGGGAGGAGCUGCCGAAGGUGGAGCCGGUAACUGGGGUGAAGUCGUAACAAGGUAGC
This 211-nucleotide ribosomal RNA is filed under the name uncultured bacterium. RNAcentral describes it as "partial 16S ribosomal RNA". It matches the Rfam family "Bacterial small subunit ribosomal RNA", at positions 1290 to 1500 of the family's 1533-position model. The record is from RNAcentral.